AGGAUGAACGCUGGCGGUAUGCUUUACACAUGCAAGUCGUACGAGAGUUUUUAACUCAAGUGGCGGACGGGUGAGUAACACGUAAGAAUUUGCCUUUAGGAGGGGAUAACAACUGGAAACGGUUGCUAAUACCCCAUAUGCUUUCGAGUGAAAUGGAUUUUUCCGCCUAAAGAGAAGCUUGCGGCUGAUUAGCUUGUUGGUGAGGUAAUGGCUUACCAAGGCGACGAUCAGUAUCUGGUUUGAGAGGACGAUCAGACACACUGGAACUGAGACACGGUCCAGACUCCUACGGGAGGCAGCAGUGGGGAAUUUUCCGCAAUGGGCGAAAGCCUGACGGAGCAAUACCGCGUGAGGGAUGACGGCCUAUGGGUUGUAAACCUCUUUUUCAGGGAGGAAUCAAUGACGUGUACCUGAAGAAUAAGCAUCGGCUAACUCCGUGCCAGCAGCCGC
This 450-nucleotide ribosomal RNA is filed under the name uncultured bacterium. RNAcentral's name for it is "SSU rRNA". It matches the Rfam family "Bacterial small subunit ribosomal RNA", at positions 26 to 518 of the family's 1533-position model. The record is from RNAcentral.